UACGUAGGGGGCUAGCGUUAUCCGGAUUUACUGGGCGUAAAGGGUGCGUAGGCGGUCUUUCAAGUCAGGAGUGAAAGGCUACGGCUCAACCGUAGUAAGCUCUUGAAACUGUAAGACUUGAGUGCAGGAGAGGAGAGUGGAAUUCCUAGUGUAGCGGUGAAAUGCGUAGAUAUUAGGAGGAACACCAGUUGCGAAGGCGGCUUUCUGGACUGUAACUGACGCUGAGGCACGAAAGCGUGGGGGAGCAAACAGG
Molecule: ribosomal RNA, 253 nt
Filed under: uncultured bacterium
Lineage: Bacteria
Description: partial 16S ribosomal RNA
Rfam family: Bacterial small subunit ribosomal RNA
Source: RNAcentral